Non-coding RNA from Astyanax mexicanus (Mexican tetra), 736 nucleotides. NCBI's taxonomy places the organism in Eukaryota, Metazoa, Chordata, Actinopteri, Characiformes, Acestrorhamphidae. The record is from the annotation of a RefSeq genome assembly.
AAGACUACACCCUAAAAUGUCCAAAGUGUCAAAGUAAAAAUGUCAAUAAACAGUGAUAAUGGAACUGUGGUAUGUGCUGACAAUAUUACAUUAUAGCACUCCCUCUCAUGUAUUAAUGCUUAAUUGACUUCUAUUAAAUACAAUUUUAUUCAAUUCUAAAAGAUAAUUUUACAUGAAGCAUUGUUCCACCUCACUAAAGGGCAGGAUCACAUGAUGCUGCUGGAUGGCAAAUUAAGCCUGUAAGACGAGGUGUUGAGUGAGUGGGUGGAGCUGAGUGUGUAGUAGAGAGGAUAGUAGAGAGGAGAGCUGAAACUCAGUGUGUUCUUCUCCCAGUGUGUGCUACACCACCAUGAUCAUUUUCACUGUACUGCUGCUCUCUGCUCUUACAGGUAACAGAGCUGAAGACGUCAUCACUCCUAGCAGAGAUGCUGUUUUUGCUGUUGAAGGUCAGAAUGUUACCCUCUCCUGUAACUACACUGUAAGUGCUGACAGUCUUCACUGGUAUCAACAGUAUUCAGGCUCUCCUCCCCAGUUCCUCAUACUGGACUAUGCAGGGAGCAUUACUGAAGCUCAACCUCCAGUUCCUGGAAUAUUCAUCAACCAUCAAAAAGGAAUAAAAAAAGUGAAUCUGAUCAUCUCCUCUACUGCAGUAUCAGACUCUGCUCUCUACUACUGUGCUCUGAGGCCCACAGUGGCAGGAAACCCACCAAACACUGUACUAAAACCUUUCUUGUGA